GAUAAACGCUGGCGGCGCACAUAAGACAUGCAAGUCGAACGAACUUAAUAUCUUGCUUGCAAGAUAAGCGGUUAGUGGCGGACUGGUGAGUAACACGUAAGAAAUCUGCCUAUCAGAGGGGAAUAACAGUGAGAAAUCACUGCUAAUACCGCAUAUGCCAUAGGAGUCGCAUGACUCUAGUGGGAAAGGAGCAAUCCGCUGAUAGAUGAGCUUGCGUCUGAUUAGCUAGUUGGUGGGGUAACGGCCUACCAAGGCAACGAUCAGUAGCCGGACUGAGAGGUUGAACGGCCACAUUGGGACUGAGAUACGGCCCAG
RNAcentral lists this ribosomal RNA (315 nucleotides) under uncultured bacterium. RNAcentral's name for it is "bacterial SSU rRNA". It matches the Rfam family "Bacterial small subunit ribosomal RNA", at positions 28 to 334 of the family's 1533-position model. The record is from RNAcentral.